This 29-nucleotide non-coding RNA is filed under the name Homo sapiens (human). The record is from RNAcentral. Lineage: Eukaryota; Metazoa; Chordata; Mammalia; Primates; Hominidae.
AACAGCAACUGUCAAAGUGGUGGUGAUCC